RNAcentral lists this ribosomal RNA (764 nucleotides) under uncultured delta proteobacterium. RNAcentral's name for it is "bacterial SSU rRNA". It matches the Rfam family "Bacterial small subunit ribosomal RNA", at positions 60 to 804 of the family's 1533-position model. The record is from RNAcentral. Lineage: Bacteria; Deltaproteobacteria.
AGUCGAACGCGAAAGUCUUCGGAUGAGUAGAGUGGCGCACGGGUGAGUAUCACGUGGGUAAUCUGCCUAGAGAUGGGGAAUAACCCCUCGAAAGAGGGGCUAAUACCGCAUAAGACCACAGCUACUACGGUAGCAGAGGUUAAAAGUGAUCACUGUUUACAAAUUAUUGUCUCUAGAUGAGCCUGCGCACUAUUAGCUAGUUGGUGGGGUAAUGGCCUACCAAGGCUACGAUAGUUAGCUGGUCUGAGAGGAUGAUCAGCCACACUGGAACUGAGACACGGUCCAGACUCCUACGGGAGGCAGCAGUAGGGAAUAUUGCUCAAUGGGGGAAACCCUGAAGCAGCAACGCCGCGUGAGUGAUGAAGGCCUUCGGGUCGUAAAGCUCUGUUGUACGGGGCGAACGAGGGUAUGGCUAAUAUCCAUACCCAGUGACAGUACCGUAUAAGAAAGGACCGGCUAACUUCGUGCCAGCAGCCGCGGUAAGACGGGGGGUCCAAGCGUUGUUCGGAAUCAUUGGGCGUAAAGCGUGUGCAGGUGGUUUUGUAAGUUGGAUGUGAAAGCCCCGGGCUUAACUCGGGAAGUGCAUUCAAAACUGCAAAACUUGAGUAUGGAAGAGGGUCGUGGAAUUCCUGGUGUAGUGGUGAAAUACGUAGAUAUCAGGAGGAACACCGGUGGCGAAGGCGGCGACCUGGUCCUAUACUGACACUCAUACACGAAAGCGUGGGGAUCAAACAGGAUUAGAUACCCUGGUAGUCCACGCCGUA